AUUCAGAUGACGAGUCCCAAAUAGAACGAAACGCGCAUCCUGGAU
Molecule: non-coding RNA, 45 nt
Filed under: Schistosoma mansoni
Lineage: Eukaryota; Metazoa; Platyhelminthes; Trematoda; Strigeidida; Schistosomatidae
Source: RNAcentral